RNAcentral lists this ribosomal RNA (497 nucleotides) under uncultured bacterium. Its description in RNAcentral is "partial 16S ribosomal RNA". It matches the Rfam family "Bacterial small subunit ribosomal RNA", at positions 28 to 507 of the family's 1533-position model. The record is from RNAcentral.
GAUGAACGCUGGCGGCGUGCCUAAUACAUGCAAGUCGAGCGAACAGAUGAGGAGCUUGCUCCUCUGACGUUAGCGGCGGACGUGUGUGUAACACGUGGAUAACCUACCUAUAAGACUGGGAUAACUUCGGGAAACCGGCGCUAAUACCGGAUAAUAUAUUGAACCGCAUGGUUCAAUAGUGAAAGACGGCUUUGCUGUCACUAAUAGAUGCAUCCCCGCCGCAUUAGAUAGUUGGUAAGGUAACGGCCUACCAAGGCAACGAUGCGUAGCCGACCUGACAGGGUGAUCGGCCACACUGGAACUGAGACGCGGUCCAGACUCCUACGGGAGGCAGCAGUAGGGAAUCUUCCGCAAUGGGCGAAAGCCUGACGGAGCAACGCCGCGUGAGUGAUGAAGGUCUUCGGAUCGUAAAACUCUGUUAUUAGGGAAGAACAAAUGUGUAAGUAACUAUGCACGUCUUGACGGUACCUAAUCAGAAAGCCACGGCUAACUACGUG